This 460-nucleotide ribosomal RNA is filed under the name uncultured bacterium. RNAcentral's name for it is "partial 16S ribosomal RNA". It matches the Rfam family "Bacterial small subunit ribosomal RNA", at positions 338 to 795 of the family's 1533-position model. The record is from RNAcentral.
CCUACGGGAGGCAGCAGUGGGGAAUAUUGGGCAAUGGGCGCAAGCCUGAACCAGCCAAGUCGCGUGAGGGAAGACUGCCCUAUGGGUUGUAAACCUCUUUUGUCAGGGAGCAAUUGGCGCUACGUGUAGCGUUAUCGAGAGUACCUGAAGAAAAAGCAUCGGCUAACUCCGUGCCAGCAGCCGCGGUAAUACGGGGGAUGCGAGCGUUAUCCGGAUUUAUUGGGUUUAAAGGGUGCGUAGGCGGAAUGCCAAGUCAGCGGUAAAAUCGCGGGGCUCAACCUCGCUCCGCCGUUGAAACUGGCGUUCUGGAGUGGGCGAGAAGUAUGCGGAAUGCGUGGUGUAGCGGUGAAAUGCAUAGAUAUCACGGAGAACUCCGAGUGCGAAGGCAGCAUACCGGCGCCCAACUGACGCUGAAGCAGGAAAGCGGGGGUAUCGAACAGGAUUAGAUACCCGUGUAGUC